GCGCUUAUGUAGGUAGCACGCAUACUAAAAUUAGAAUGAUAUAGAGAUUAGCAUGGCUCCUGUGCAAGGAUGACAUGCAAACUCAUGAAGCAUUCCAUAUUUUU
Small nuclear RNA from Myotis daubentonii (Daubenton's bat), 104 nucleotides. The record is from RefSeq and is a predicted model, not a curated record. Lineage: Eukaryota; Metazoa; Chordata; Mammalia; Chiroptera; Vespertilionidae.